GCCAGGCCAAGUCAAGCCAGCCAGCCAGUCAGCCAGCCAGCCAGCCAACAACAGCAAUUACUGGCCAAGAGGUGGUGAUGGUAAAGGUCCAAGAUGAUGACGACGCAGCAACAGCAGCGGCAGCAGCAGCCAGUGCCAAACAGCGCAGGAUGACAGUCAAGGAAUAUUUUUUGGCCGCAAACGCAGUUUGAUUAGCCAAGUCAAACAGUGUGGUUUGACCCUGGCCAAGAUCGCCGCAAUGGACCCCAAUUGACAGCUCGCAUACACUUGCACUCACACACACACACACACACACACAUACACACAUGCAUCUGGCACAGUGGUGCAGUGGGGCAGCAGCAACAACAACAGCGGCCGCUUCGCAGGAUGCGUUCGUCUCGAUUAUACAGCUAACAACAACAAACAACAAACAAAAACAAAUAAAACGUGUCGCGCCGCAACAACAACAACAACAAAACGCGCUGUGCUCUAUAUAUGUGUGUGUGUGUGUGUGCGCGUGUGUGCACGUUUGUGUGUGUGUGUGUGCCUAAACCUUUUGAACUGACCAACGUGCGCCGUCAACUUUUUUCGGCCAGUGCCAAAAACGACGUGCGCCAAUGGAGCAACUGGCGUUAAGCCCAAAAAAAAAAAAGAAUGAACCAACUGCAACUGCAGCAGCAGCAGCAGCAGCAACAGCGGCAGCAGCAGUAACAACAACAGCAACUGCAGCAGUAACAUUAGCAACAACAACAAGCGCCAUUGUUUUAACUGGCCGCUAAUGAUUUGUCAGCCAUGCACACGCGUGCGAAACCUCAAAGGAUGCGCAUCAGGCGGCAGCCGCAGAGGUAGCUACGAAAAAUCACGCAUACGCCGCGUGUGACAAAAAGCAAAGCAAAAAUAAUAUAUAUAUAAAUAUUCAACAUGAAGAAAAUACAUAAACUUUAACUCAACCUUAAGUAGUGACUAGUGCUUAACUUUAUAAAAUAUAUUUCAAAUAUCGUACUACAACAAAUAUCUAAACAAAUAAAAUAAAUAUAACCAAACAAAAAUGAAUAGCAAACGUAGCGUUGAAUACUUCCAUGCCACUUAUAUAAUCGAUUACAACAAACUAUGAUAUAAUCCAACAAUUAACUAAACUCUAGUGCAAUCCAUAAACAAUUGUGCAAAUAUACACACAGUUAUUAGCAGUUAAUUCGUACUAAUAUUGGUAACCGAAAGCACUCGUAGACAAAAGUUAAGAUUUAAAGAAAUUAUCAGCGCGAGUUUUGUGCAUCGUUGCGAAGCGACUCGUUCAAAGCCUGACCAGAUCUUUGCAAAGAUUCAAUGUGGAACAGCAGCAGCAACAGGAGGACAACUGAGCUGUUACUAGACAAAUGCGAUGCGUUAAAGGAGCCUCGUUGGCCAAUUGGCAGCCACGGCCGCUGCAGCUGGUCCUAGGCCUGACCAACCAAUGGCAGCGCAGCGGCUAAAAGUUCAAGUCGGCAGCAGGCAGCGUAAUGCACUUGGCAAACGUUCAAAGCACACACACACACGCACACACAGACGCACAGCGACACACAUAUACAAGGCCACACAUACACAGGCAAAUAGACUUUGAUUGCUGCGCUCACACGCGCAUGGGAAAAACCGUUGAUAAUAAAUCACGCAUACGCCUGUUGGCACAGCAAAAACUAUUUGCAGUUGUGUGCGCCCUAGUGUGUGUGUGUCUGUGUGUGUGUGUGUGCUUCGUGACUUGCACAGGCUGUUUGCCAACUGCAAUGCGGUGCUCGUUUCAGCCCGGCUCGAGCGAGUUGGCGGCAAGACAAUUGCACGAACGAAGCCUCCUUUGCAGGCAGCGCAUUGGCGUCCCCACCCCUUUGCAGGACGCAAGACGCCAGGACGACCAAUCAGAGCGAGGCUUGUGCGCAACGCCGUUGGCCAAACAGAACCAGAACUCAGCGAUGCCAGCACCCAAGCCGAUAACAUUUUUGUAUAUACUAUAAGCGAAUUUUCUCGAUUUUAGUUCAGUUUAAGUUUUAAUUUCAAACUAUUUUAAGUCACAUGCCCAAAGCCUACGCCCACAAACAACAACUAAAGUGGGCGUACAAUACCUUACUUAUGAAUACGAUAUAUACAGAUAUACUAUUACUUAAGAGUUUGAACCAAGAUGAUUGCAAAAUGCGUAAGAAAAAGAAUAAAAAGUUGUAAAGCUUCCGAGCGGCACGCAAAAAAAAA
Molecule: small RNA, 2193 nt
Filed under: Drosophila virilis
Lineage: Eukaryota; Metazoa; Arthropoda; Insecta; Diptera; Drosophilidae
Description: GJ25852
Source: RNAcentral